This 410-nucleotide long non-coding RNA is filed under the name Panax ginseng (ginseng). Its description in RNAcentral is "long non-coding RNA (PGIN_LNC000568)". The record is from RNAcentral. Lineage: Eukaryota; Viridiplantae; Streptophyta; Magnoliopsida; Apiales; Araliaceae.
GAAAGAAUGAGACGGAGACAAAGAAAGAAAGAGAAAAAGAACAAUAAUUAAUUUCCUUGUGUACUUUAUUGGGUUUCAUGUGGCUGUAUUUAUAGCCAAGACAGCACAUGGGAGUACAACAUGCAACAACUAAAAUAGAGAAAAGUGCAGUAAACAAUGUAGUAGCUAAAAAAUAAGAACAAAUAGCAGUAGACUAGAUAAACAGGAACUACUUUUGCUAAAGAAUAGGAACUGCAUCUGGACUUCUUCAACAGGUGUGUGCUUACUAUGCAGCUUCUAGGUGAGGGUAAGAUAGAGUACGUAACAGAUGGAAAUCAGAUUGUCAUUAGUAAUUUUCUAUAUGUCUAUUGUUAGACAAUUUCCUCUGUUAUAUAGAGAAAAAGUUACAUGAUAUACAUGACAUCUUAUUC